This 678-nucleotide long non-coding RNA is filed under the name Elaeis guineensis (African oil palm). RNAcentral's name for it is "long non-coding RNA (EGUI_LNC063666)". Lineage: Eukaryota; Viridiplantae; Streptophyta; Magnoliopsida; Arecales; Arecaceae. The record is from RNAcentral.
CAUGAGGAAGUGGAGUGCCAAGAGUUGGCGCCCCUUGAGUCUCCUUGCCGUCCUUUCUUCAUCUAUUUAAAUGGGGCACCUCUUAUGGGAUAAGGGCUAGAUUUUGGUGAAAAAUCAGAGACCUUGGCAUGUGAUAAGAGAAAAAAAAGAUUUAAAAAAUAUCAUAGGAAAAAUUAAAAAAAAAUUGAGUGGAAAAUAAAAAGAAGAGAGGUGAGAAAAAUAGCAAGUGAGGUGUGCUUGUCCUAGGGUUUGAUUUUAUCAUAUGUUGGAGCACAAAAUCAAAUCCUAGGUUGUGAGACUUCUAGAGAGAAUUAUCUUGGCAUAAUCUUAGUGGAGAAAUUGAAAGCAAUAGAGCAUUAGUGUGAUCAUUCUUUAAGUAUGAAGCCGGUAGUGUUCUUGUGAAGAAUAGACUGUGAUGGUGCAUUGGUUGGGAAGGAUCUUGACCAUUUUUCGUGUGGAUCACUAUUGGAGGAUUUUUAUUUUGGAGUCUUAUGAAGAUUACUUUCUUACUAUACUGCUUAUUUAAGGAAGUAUAAAUUUCUAACUCUUUACAUGUUUGGAUUUUGUUUUGUUCGAUAUCUACAAGAUGAUUCUAAAGUUUGAGUUCCAGUUUGACAGCUUUAAUUGUUAAAGCUUUUGAUUUGCAUAUCCAAAAAUUUUUAAAAUUCAUAUUCCACU